Non-coding RNA from Microcebus murinus (gray mouse lemur), 1334 nucleotides. The record is from RefSeq and is a predicted model, not a curated record. NCBI's taxonomy places the organism in Eukaryota, Metazoa, Chordata, Mammalia, Primates, Cheirogaleidae.
AUAUUAUGCUUAACUGUAUUUCCCAUAUUGAAUUUAUUUUUAAAUUGGCCCUACUCAUGACAAAAUAAGAAUAUAUCUGGAACAAGCAGUGUUUUGUAGGGUAUUUAAACAAAAUGUUAUUGUACAAACUUUAUAAACCUUUUACAGAUGUUGAGACAUAAAUGGCAGAACCUGGUCUCUGCUGGAGCAAGUUCAAAGUGCAUCUAGCCGACUGUGAGAAACGCGAGUGAGUGGUUUCCACCUGACGUGAUGUAAUGCGGGAGUUUACCCACCACUGGGCUGACCCCCAUUUAAUUCCCCGUGUGCAUUACAAGAAAACUGCAGGAGGCUAGCCGUGGCAAGAAAAACACUGUAUGUAUGUGCAUGUGUAUGGUCAUAGCCAUAGCUAAGCUUUGUUACACGCAAACCCUUGAUUCUUGAUGACAAAACAAGACACCUGAGGAAGCGUGGCUUCGAAGAGUAAGUGGGAUGUGUGGGAAAGCUCAGCUCCAGCCUUGUCACUGGCGCUACGGUCUGUGCAUCUCCGUGAGCCGCCUCAGAGCCCACACACAGGAACUGGGUCUGUGCGUGCCUUCCCGCCUUUCUCUCAGGGCGACAGCCUGUGUAUGCACUGUGUCCACCUCCAAGCACCCUACUGGUCUGUGGGCCGGGCACCCUGCACCUGCGGGUCCCCCUCUCGCCCAGAGACGUCGGUGCGCCCAGGCACCCGGGGCAGCUGCAGAACGAAACCACCUUCCUACUGAAAUGAGGAGUCUGGGAAAGCAAGCGUGAAGUGACAGACCUGGGGCAAGCCCCCUCCCAGUGCUGGCUGAGUCUCACGACCACUUUCUGUCCUGGAGGAGCUGAAUUUACACCCAGGGCAACUCAUCCUCCUGAUGAGCAAACUCGCUGUCUAUUAAAGAAACCAGGCCCCAGUCCAUGGAGAUUACAGAAUGCCUGAGAACAUUCUAAAGGGCAGGGAACCAAAAGCAGCACCCCCAUGGUGAUUAAAUCACAGUGGUCUAACAUUCCUUCUCCUGAAUGGAGUUACAUUAAUGACGGUACUUGUGGUAUUAUAAGCAUUGUUGAGUUUAGCUGCAAUGUCUGCAAGGGGAUUUAAGCACCCUGAAGAAAAGCCGCAAAAUGCACAGGAUUAUGGAAUGACGCCUCCGUACGACAGAGCAUCAUUAGGACAAGCAAGUGCACAGUCAGCUCUCACUCUACGGGACCGGCAGCCUGAGACAUCUGUGUGCUGCGAAUGUCGCAUGCUCCAACGGCAAGGCAUAUACAGAUCCGAUUUUUAAAAAUAAGCCAAAGAAUGGGAAAAUAUAGAAAAGUCACAAUUCCACCUCACA